CCCAAAAAAUCCCCAAAAAAUCCAAAAAAAAUCCCAAAAUAUCCCAAAAAAUUCCCAAAAAAUCGCCAAAAAAUCAAAAAAAAAUCCAAAAAAAAUAAAAAAAAAAUCCCAAAAAUUCCCAAAAAAAUCCCCAAAAAUUCCCAAAAUUCCCAAAUUUCCCAAUAUCCCCCCAAUUCCCGCCUUCCCCUCCCCCUCACCUGGCACUCCGGGCUCCCCCAAAAAUCCCAUAAAAAACCCCCAAAAAUCCCAAAAAAUCCCCAAAAAAUCCCCAAAAAUCCCCCCAAAAUCCCCAAAAAAUCCCAAAAUUCCCAAAAAAAUCCCCCAGAAUUCCCAAAAAAUCCCCAAAAAUUCCCAAAAAAUCCCAAAAAAAUCCCCAAAGAAUCCCAAAAAAAUUCCCAAAAAUUCCCAAAAAUUCCCAAAAAAUCCCCCAAAAUUUCCCAAAAAAAUCCCAAAAUAUCCCCAAAAAAUCCCAAAAAAUCCCCAAAAAAUCCCCAAAAAAUCCCAAAAAUUCCCCAAAAAAUCCCAAAAAAUCCCAAAAAAAUCCCCAAAAAAUCCCCAAAAAUAAAAAAAAAUCCCCAAAAAAAUCCCAAAAAAUCCCCAAANNNNNNNNNNNNNNNNNNNNCUGGCACUCCGGGCUCCCCCAAAAAUCCCAUAAAAAACCCCCAAAAAUCCCAAAAAAUCCCCAAAAAAUCCCCAAAAAUCCCCCCAAAAUCCCCAAAAAAUCCCAAAAUUCCCAAAAAAAUCCCCCAGAAUUCCCAAAAAAUCCCCAAAAAUUCCCAAAAAAUCCCAAAAAAAUCCCCAAAGAAUCCCAAAAAAAUUCCCAAAAAUUCCCAAAAAUUCCCAAAAAAUCCCCCAAAAUUUCCCAAAAAAAUCCCAAAAUAUCCCCAAAAAAUCCCAAAAAAUCCCCAAAAAAUCCCCAAAAAAUCCCAAAAAUUCCCCAAAAAAUCCCAAAAUUCCCAAAUUUCCCCAAAAUCCCCCCAAUUCCCGCCUUCCCCUCCCCCUCACCUGGCACUCCGGGCUCCCGGGGCUGAGAUCGAGGCAGAAACUUUCGGGAUUUGA
This 1059-nucleotide long non-coding RNA is filed under the name Cyanistes caeruleus (blue tit). RNAcentral's name for it is "lncRNA (ENSCCEG00000000442.1)". The record is from RNAcentral. Lineage: Eukaryota; Metazoa; Chordata; Aves; Passeriformes; Paridae.